UAAGGUGUAAUCAAUAAUGAUAUUUCUUUUACAAGGAAAAUUAGCUGUGUUUAUGGCCACUUUAA
RNAcentral lists this transfer RNA (65 nucleotides) under Alectorobius capensis. Its description in RNAcentral is "tRNA-Val". The record is from RNAcentral. Lineage: Eukaryota; Metazoa; Arthropoda; Arachnida; Ixodida; Argasidae.